CUGGCUCCAGUGGUGGGGCGAUGCGUGUGCGCGAAACUUCGCUGUGAAUCGUGAUUACACCUGCCAAGUUUUGCAGUUCUUUAUUGCAAGAUUUAAUGCCAAUUCAGAAAAGAUGUGUGUUGGAUAUUUUAAGUAGUCUUCUUUGCUUGAUAUUUUUAUCAUCAUGUUUCCAUGCAGGAGUUCAACAAAUCAACAAAUUUCACAACAUACGACAAAGCUGAUGCAACACACAAACACAAUCCUGGAGGAACUCAGCAGGUUCUUUUGAAGACCCUGACCUGGAGUUACACACUGACUUUGGUUCUUUGUGGGAAUGGGACCCACUCUCAGGGUCUCACGACUGGCCACUAUUUGUUCGAUGUACCAAGGACGUGACCUAGAAGACUAGUGCAUCUUCAGGGUUCCAGGAUUUCGUGGCUCUGGAGGUGGGCAGACUCAAGGUUGGUUCCUUCCCAGGAAACUGGUGUGUCGAGGGAGUACACAGAAGAUCGAAAGCAGCGAGCUGGCUGCCGGCUGUGUGCCCAGAGACCCGAGUUGUUUGGGCGCAGAGCUCGGAAAAGGCGACGCAACAGACUUUUAACAUCAGAAUGGAUACAUCUUCUACUGCCUCCUUGAAGAUUGUUAUUCUGGUUGGAGCUCAGUUUUGAGGUGCCAAUCAUGUUUCUGUGCCUCACUCAAGCCGCCUUUCUUCGGGUGUAAACUAUAGAGAAGGAAUGUUUGCCAGCAAAUUAAUCAUUGUUUAAAGAUUUGGAUAAGAAUCCUUCAUCCUCCUAAAGUUAGGCUAAUUAUUAAUGUGUGGCUCUAUUGGACUCAAAGGAAUUUGUGUAAACAAUAACUUAUUUUAUUUAAACUUUACCAAAGAUUUGCUGAUGAUUUCAUCAAAAUACAAUGAUUUCAUCAAAAAUUUCUCCCAUUGAGAAACUAACCAUCUGAAGGGUUGAAACUUUACCUAGUUUGUCAUUGUUCCUUUACUAAUACCAUCCUUAAGAGUAUUUUUGUAUAAAAUUAUAU
Molecule: long non-coding RNA, 1011 nt
Organism: Hypanus sabinus (Atlantic stingray)
Lineage: Eukaryota; Metazoa; Chordata; Chondrichthyes; Myliobatiformes; Dasyatidae
Exons: 3
Source: RefSeq, a predicted model, not a curated record